UGGGGAAUAUUGCACAAUGGAGGGAACUCUGAUGCAGCGACGCCGCGUGUGUGAUGAAGGAAUUCGUUUCGUAAAACUCUGUUCUAUGGGAAGAAAAGGACUGUACCAUAGGAGAAAGCUCCGGCUAAUUACGUGCCAGCAGCCGCGGUAAUACGUAUGUAGCGAGCGUUUUCCGGAAUUAUUGGGGGUAAAGGGUGCGCAGGCGGCUUUACAAGUUGGAUGUGAAAUAUUGUGGCUCAACCACAAACGUGCAUCCAAAACUGCAAAGCUUGAGUUAAGGAGAGGUAAGUGGAAUUCCUGGUGUAGCGGUGGAAUGCGUAGAUAUCAGGAGGAAUACCGGUGGCAAAGGCGACUUACUGGACUUAAACUGACGCUAAGGCACGAAAGCGUGGGGAGCAAACAGG
RNAcentral lists this ribosomal RNA (404 nucleotides) under Fusobacteriota bacterium. Its description in RNAcentral is "Fusobacteria bacterium partial 16S ribosomal RNA". It matches the Rfam family "Bacterial small subunit ribosomal RNA", at positions 355 to 776 of the family's 1533-position model. The record is from RNAcentral. Lineage: Bacteria; Fusobacteriati; Fusobacteriota.